This 933-nucleotide ribosomal RNA is filed under the name Nocardioides sp. K-NB-23. RNAcentral describes it as "bacterial SSU rRNA". It matches the Rfam family "Bacterial small subunit ribosomal RNA", at positions 496 to 1430 of the family's 1533-position model. Lineage: Bacteria; Bacillati; Actinomycetota; Actinomycetes; Propionibacteriales; Nocardioidaceae. The record is from RNAcentral.
CCCAACUACGUGCCAGCAGCCGCGGUAAUACGUAGGGUGCGAGCGUUGUCCGGAAUUAUUGGGCGUAAAGGGCUCGUAGGCGGUUUGUCGCGUCGGGAGUGAAAACGCCGUGCUUAACACGGCGCUUGCUUUCGAUACGGGCAGACUAGAGGUAUUCAGGGGAGAACGGAAUUCCUGGUGUAGCGGUGAAAUGCGCAGAUAUCAGGAGGAACACCGGUGGCGAAGGCGGUUCUCUGGGAAUGACCUGACGCUGAGGAGCGAAAGUGUGGGGAGCGAACAGGAUUAGAUACCCUGGUAGUCCACACCGUAAACGUUGGGCGCUAGGUGUGGGGUCCAUUCCACGGAUUCCGUGCCGCAGCUAACGCAUUAAGCGCCCCGCCUGGGGAGUACGGCCGCAAGGCUAAAACUCAAAGGAAUUGACGGGGGCCCGCACAAGCGGCGGAGCAUGCGGAUUAAUUCGAUGCAACGCGAAGAACCUUACCUGGGUUUGACAUACACCCUGCCGCUCCAGAGAUGGGGCUUCUUUUGGGGGUGUACAGGUGGUGCAUGGCUGUCGUCAGCUCGUGUCGUGAGAUGUUGGGUUAAGUCCCGCAACGAGCGCAACCCUCGUUCUAUGUUGCCAGCACGUAAUGGUGGGGACUCAUAGGAGACUGCCGGGGUCAACUCGGAGGAAGGUGGGGAUGACGUCAAGUCAUCAUGCCCCUUAUGUCCAGGGCUUCACGCAUGCUACAAUGGCCGGUACAAAGGGCUGCGAUCCCGUAAGGGGGAGCGAAUCCCAAAAAGCCGGUCUCAGUUCGGAUUGGGGUCUGCAACUCGACCCCAUGAAGUCGGAGUCGCUAGUAAUCGCAGAUCAGCAACGCUGCGGUGAAUACGUUCCCGGGCCUUGUACACACCGCCCGUCACGUCACGAAAGUCGGCAACACCCGAAGCCGG